Molecule: long non-coding RNA, 18074 nt
Organism: Amphiprion ocellaris (clown anemonefish)
Lineage: Eukaryota; Metazoa; Chordata; Actinopteri; Pomacentridae
Exons: 3
Source: RefSeq, a predicted model, not a curated record
AAACGCUUCAAAACGCAGGCGCGGACCUGAACCAAACUUCCCCCCUUUUUCUUUUUAUUUCAGCUGCACUGUCAACAAACAGGCCAUUUCUGCCCGCAUGCAAAUUUAAAGCCCCAGAGGGGAUUUAUAAUUACGGGGCUGUGGAGGAGGGCUGAGGAGCCGUAAUGAGCCGUGCAGCCUGACAGGCUGCUGGUUCAUCUAUCUCCUCUGUCAGAUCCCAGCUGGUUCACUGAGACAGACAACAGAUGUGGAAAAGCAACACAGUAGCUUAUUCACCACCAGGAAGAUUGCAGUGGCUUGUGAUUUGGCCUUUUAACAUCUGUUUCAGACUGAGUGACCCUUGUACUGCAACCAGAGAUCUGCAGAAUGUUGUUUGUUACUGUGUGGCUGCCAGAACCCUUUUUCCAUUCUACUGGGUUACAGUGAGAGAGAAAACAUCUAAGGAGGCAGACAAUGUGAAUUUAUGGAACAGAAAAUGUCAAAAAAACAUUAUGUUCACAAAUAAAGCUUUAUUUCCUCUUUUUUGAGCAACAUGACACGUUUAAGCCUGCACAAAUCCCUUGUUGUUUUAGCUGUUUCCCCUUUCUUCUUUCACUGUCAGUCUCUCUAACUCCCCUGUUCUUGCUGUAAAUGUUUUUAAACCACAAACCAUAGCUGAAAAGCUGACAUAAAACUCCCCUCGUUUCCCAAAGGAGGAAACUGUUAGUGCAUGUUUGUCACCAAAUAGAGUAAACUUAUGUCAUCCUGAAAAUGAAAAUAACUAGGCCAAGGAACUUUUUUUUUUCUUUUUUGAAAUGCCCAAGAAAGGCAAAAAUGUGUACUUUGAUUUAGUAUGGAGACAUCCUCUUAUACUUUAAGAAGCUUGUGAAGUGCCAUUAUCUGGACUCAGACACACAGGGGUCCUUGGAGUUUGCCUUACAGUCAGUCACAUGUACAGGGGCAGUCGUUUGCUAAAUGAGUCCCUUAGAUGGGACUGUGCUACGUCUGUUAGCCACUCUAUCAAUCUGACCGCUAAUUAGACAAUGCCUGGGAGAGACGGGGUUAAUGUACAGACUGAGGCAGAGGCAGCGGGACAAAAGAGAAGAGGAUUAUAAAGACAGAAUGACAAAGAGCUUUUAAGAGCACGAAAAUGUGUGUGUCUGCAGGGAGCCUUAAAGCAGUGGUUCCCGUUCUUCUCAGCUCAUGGCCUUUAAAAUGAAGAAACAUCUACCUGCAAUCCAUCCUUAGGUGUUGCAUAUGUCAGUUAGUUCUGAGUGUAGACUGUAUAUAAGAAGGAUGCAGCCAACAGGACAUCAUUCAUUUGUAAGCCUUGAGUUUGGAAUUUGGCCAUAUUUUGAUACUAGACAUCACUAGCAAGCAUUGGAUAUUAAGAAUGGGGCCUUAAUUUACUAAAUGAACAUAGUGUUGUAUCGAAGGACACUUCAGAUUAGUGAUUGAGGUCAUAAACUCAUUAGGAAAAUGUUUACUGGGGCAACAAAUUAAGUGGGAAGUAGUCUCAUUUUCUCAUAGGCUGCAAUAUUAUCAUAUUUCUUUUCACAAUCAGAGGGGUCGCCCCCUACUGGCUUUCUAGCCACAGACGCUUCAUCAGUCUUGUAUAUACACCAAUUAGGCAAAACAUUAUGGCCAACUUUUGCUGCCAAACCAGUCCUGACCCGUCAAGGCAUGGACUCCACUAGACUCCCGAAGGUUUGCUGUGGUAUCUGACACCAAAAUGUUUGCAACAGAUCCUAAAAGUCGUGGUAGUUGUGAAGUGGGGCCUCCAUGGAUCAGACUUGUUUGUCCAGUGCAUCCCACAGAUGCUCGAUUAGAUUGAGAUCUGGGGAAUUUUGGAGGUCAAGUCAACACGUCAAACUGGUUGUUGUGCUCCUCAAACCAUUCCUGAACCAUUUUUACUUUGUGGUACGGCACAUUGUCCUACUGAAAGAGCCACAGCCAUCAACAACAACAAUGUUAAGGUAGGUGGUUCGUGUCAAAGUAACAUCCACAUGGAUGGCAGGACCCAAGGUUUCCCAGCAGAACAUUGCCCAAAGCAUCACGCUGCCUUCAAUGGCUUGCCUUCUUCCCAUAGUGCAUCCUGGUACCAUGUGUUUCCCAGGUAAGCGGUUGGUCUGUGGCUAUGCAGCCUCAUGCACAGCAAACUGAUACACUGUGUAUUCUGACACAUUUCUGUCAGAACCAGCAUUAACUUCUUCAGCAAUUUGAGCAACAGUAGCUCAUCUGGAUCCAACCACAUGGGUCAGCCUUCUCUCCCCACGUGCAUCAAUGAGCCUUGGCGGUACAUGACCCUGUCACUAGUUCACUACUGUUCCUUCCUUGGACCACUUCUGAUAGAUACUGACCACUGCAGACCAGGAACACCCCACAAGAGCUGCAGUUUUAGAGAUGCUCUGACCCAGUGGUCUAGCCAUCACAAUUUGGCCCUUUGUCAAACUUGUUGAAAUCCUUACUCUUGUUCAUUUUUCCUGCUUCUAACACAUGAACUUUGAGGACAAAAUGUUCACUUGCUGCUUAAUAUAUCCAACCUACUAACAGGUGCCAUGAUGAAAAGAUAAUCAGUGUUAUUCACUUCACCUGUCAGUGACCAUAAUUCUAUGCCUCAUCGGUGCAUAGUCUAGUCUAUGGUUGUGAGCAGAUAUCUGUGACUCCCUUGAGGCCCUUACUUGUGGUUUUUUGGAGGGACUAGAUUGCAAACCACACCCUAAAGCUCAGCUGAUCAUUUUCUACAAAGUUUCAAAUUCCAUAUAUCAUGAAUAGUUAAUUAUAAUGACACUGGCUUCUUCGAUUCUCUGUUUGCAAAGGCUAAUUAUCAGUAUAAAGGCAAGUCAAAUGUCAUUCUAUCUUCAUGGGGAUAAUAUGCUGUUCUUUUAGUGUUGUACCUACAAGUCUUUACACAUUUCUUUACUUUUUUUGCUUGUUGGUUGACUUACCUUUAUGUUCUCUUACCUGUUACUUAAUAUUUUAAAACAAGAUGCAGGGAUGGUUCAAUAGAAACUUAAUUACAAAAAAGUGUUCUAUCCAUUGAAGGGCACAACAUUGAUAGGACAUUGUAUGACGCAUUUUAGUCAGAAAACAAAUUUGUUUUUGUUGGCAGAUUGCACCUUUAAACGAAAUAUGUAGAAGUUAAUUAUAUAAAUCUCUUAUACCAAGAUUAUGGAUUCAUCUGAACGGCUACAUAAAAGUUUAAAUAAAUGACAUUUUCUGAAAAUGUCCAUUAGAAGAAUUGAGAAAACAGUGUUUCUGUGAGUAUUUCCAGUUGUGAGGACAUAUUACCUUUAAAUCUGAAUUAGUUAGUUAUUGCCAGACUUUGGCAGAAUUUGCUGAUUAACAUUCAUCUAGAUGUGGUCCACCUGCUGUCCUGUAAUUAUUGUCUCUGUGUAUGUUGUGAGAUUAUUUUUCAUGCCAUAAUAAAGACAUAUAAAAGCAGGAAAUGAAACUUACACGUCCUAGAAUGGCUAAACUUAAACAAACAAAAAAAACAACCUUCAUACCUCCUAAAAUCACACAGAAAUGAAAGCCAUGGGUCACCACAACCUCAUCUGAGAUAUUCAGAUCGGCUCUCUACGUUUGUGUCACGUGUCGAAAAUUACAUUUGAAUCAAUCUGCGCUCCUCUUUACUCGCACUCGGCAAUCAGCUCCAUGACUCAACCUCCCUCCAAGCUCAAUAAUAACCUGAUUUCAUACAUAUCUUCACCUUGCUGCAAGGACGCGCUUUGUAAAAACCCGGAAGGUUUUACAUACAUUAGAAUACAAGGCGCCUCGUAGCUUAACAUCUUUGGCUAUGAAAGCAGCAGAAAUGAUUCAAGGAAAACAGUGUCAGUCAAGUGUAUUUUCUGUGAUUGGGUGAGUUGUGUCUCUCUUUGCUACACAAUGCCAUAUGGAUUAUAUUUGCAUUUGUCUCCUAGAGAUCUUAUUCACAGCCAGAAAAAAGAGAAAAAUCCUAGAGGCUUUUCAGACAGAUGGGAAAUACUAUUUUAGAAAUGUGGCUUAUAGGUGAUUUUUUUUUUCAAAAGUAAUGGUGCACUGAAUGUUCACAAUUGAUAUUUAUGUCUGAUAAAAUAUUGUUUUAUGGCUCCCACUUGCUCCCAACAGACACUCCAAAAAAAUACACAACAUACUUCGAAUAGAAUAGGUGUGGAAUGAGCUGUGAAACUUUAACGCAGAAAAAAAUUGUUUUGUUGUGUUUUGCUUUUGUAUUGAUUCAUUCUCUUUAUGUCUUCUUGAUCAUGGGAAAAAACAAACACCUGCAGCCAACCAAAAACUGAAAGCAUGAAAGUGGAAAGACCACAAUAGCCUUUUGCGUUUUUCUGGUUACUGUGGGAAUAUAAAAUUUAGUAUACCGAGCAAUGACUGACAACUUUAAUAAGCUCUGAGCCAGACUUUCUGCUAGAGUCUGUGUUUUGGCUGAGAGAUGGUUGUGUUCUAUGUACUGUUUGCAGCCAGUAGCAGUUGUUCUCUUUUCCAUCUACGCCAAGGAAAACAUCCAGGCCCCAUUCACCAGUGUUUCAUAAAAACUGCCACACUGCCUUCAUUUAAAUGUUAGAGCUAUUAACUAGAUGCAGAAGCAUCCAAAAGCCUAACAAAGCUUCCUUUCUUUAUUGUCUAGUCAUUGAAUUCCUGCACUGUGACAGUAUGUGCAAAUUAUGAGAAUUUAAAAUCGAGAAUAAAAGACUUUUUAAAAUAACAUUUUCAAAUGGGAUUAGACUGUUUGUCUGCUCUAAAGUAACCAGUUGCUUCAAAAAGUAUGUCAUACACCAUAAAUCACCACUGAAAAACUGUCAUUUCCAUGUCUGAUAAAUGGACUAAAUCUAAGUGUUUUCUGUCAUUUCACAGCUGAGAUAGCAUAAUAUCCCGUAUGUAGCCAUCCAGUAAAAGCUUAAAGGCAAUAUAUGUAAGAAAACGAAGCAACUAAGGUGUAUUAAUUGUUUUUAUUGCUGAAAAUGGGACUUCUCUGACUGCCUUGGUUGCCCAUAAGAGCUUGUGGACUGAUUUUGAACAUGAGAUUAAUUAAGAAUGUGAUAUUGCCUCAAUACCUCUCCUCCAUUAGUUUGACAUAGCCAGGCUUUCUUCAUGUUAGCUGAUGUGACAGGUACCUAUUAGAGAGCUUCCAAGUUUUGACUUCAUACAUUUAAACAUGAUACUCCAGAAGUGUAUUUAGUUUUGAUACUGAGCGAUACGUGGAAAUCACUUCGGCCAAGUCAAAGGGAAAUUAUUGCUGCUGUUGUGAUAAGUACCAAUACACUAAUCAGUUUUCUAAUCUGUGUUUAUUUAGCUGCAGUAUCAGCUGUAUAAAAUACACCUGGCAGCAAAUCAGGACCAAAUCCAAUUACCCUCAUUCAUGCCUUCGUCACUUCCCGCCUUGACUACUGCAAUAGCAUUCUCUUCGGCUCCACCUCCAAAGCUCUCAAUAAACUUCAACUCAUUCAAAACUCUGCUGCCCGACUCCUCACCCGAACCUGUUCUCACGACCAUAUCACCCCCGUCCUGCAGAACCUCCAUUGGCUCCCCAUUUCACACCGCAUCCAGUACAAACUGCUUCUCCUCACCUUCAAGUCCAUCCAUAAUCUUGCCCCCUCUUACCUUACCGAUUUGCUCCUCCCCUACACCCCCCCCAGGAAUCUCCGCUCCUCCCACACAAACCUCCUUUCCAUCCCGCACAGGACCAGCCGGCGACAUUGGGGGGACAGAGCCUUCGCCAUUGCCGCCCCCACACUCUGGAACUCACUCCCCCAUGCCCUCCGUGACUGCACCAACCUCACCACAUUUAAAUCCCUUUUAAAGACUCACCUUUUUAGAUCUGCUUUCCUUAAGUGAUUCUGUAUUUUAUCUUGAACUUGUUUUACUACCUACUGAUUUUAAUUAACAGUUUUGUUUUAUCUUAUUGUAUUUUAUGUACAGCGUCUUUGAGUUUUUGGAAAAGCGCUUUAUAAAUGAAAUUUAUUAUUAUUAUUAUAAAUCAGAGAACAAAAUGUUGCAUUUUCUGCAUCACCAACAUGAUGUAUAAAGUUUGCCCAGUUGUAUUGUCAUGUGAUCAUUCAGUGGGAUUACUAACGUACAGUCUCCUCUGGAGCAUGUUAGCUCUACAACAUCAGUUACCAUGGUGAUCUAGCAGGUUAAAAGACAGCCACUUUCAGAACACUGAAACCUUGACUUUAGGCUCAACAAAACUUACUAACCCAUUCAUUUCUCUUUGUAGUACAUCCACAGCUAAACUUAGCCGAGAAAUGGAGUCUGCAAACGUCAAAAAAUGACUAAUUCGUAGCACAACACAAACUCCAAAUGAGCACGCAUACACACAAAAAGAAAGCUUAAUCUUGGGAAGCCAGUCUGGCCAAACGUAAAUGCAGCCAACGAUGGAGGAACAUCGGCAGGGCAUUCGAUUAAUGGAUGGACAAAGCAGGAACGAAACAUAACAUCUGGUCCAGCUGUGCAAGAUUAUAGUUUGAUUGUGACACAUUUUGUCGUACUAUUCUGACACUGGCAAGUCAAAUAGAGUCUGAAAUACAAUUUAUAGUCAAACUUUAGUUACUUCAUCAAUCACUAUGAUAUUGGUCAAUCAUGAAGCUCACUGAGCCACAGGAUGUUGACCUCAGCUGACUGAACAAUCAUCAGUUUUAUUAAUAACAAGGGUUUUGUGAAUUUUAUGCAGAGAAAUUUUGCAGGGAAACAUUAAUGAAAGCAUUAAAAUGUCAGCUGGAGCUUGGCAGGGGUAGCAACAGUAACAAGGAGAGCAGCAGUUCAAUGCAAGGUUAGUUAUUGAUCUCUUUGUUAUUGAUAAGGCAUCUUCAGUCAGAGCUUUCUGACAAGCACCUCGAGUUUCUCAUUGCAAAUUGAGUUUCUAUAGUAAUGACCUGUGCAGCUCAGGACAGUAUUUCUGAAAGGCUAAAGAGCACUAGAUUUAUAGAUCCUGUUGUGAACUGUGGGAGCUCCCCUCAGCUGGACUUAUAUCACAAACUUUCACCCACUAACUGACAGCACUGUCGGCAAAAGCGGAUUCAGAAAAAAUGUCACCAAACUCCAUAUUACCAUCUUUAUCUGUCAAAGUCUGCACAGAGCUAAAGAAAGAAGAAGAAGAAGAAAAAAAAGGUAAUUAACAACACUGAGAUUCACUCCAUUAAAGACACAGUGACUGGUGUGUAAUAGAAGGCAGGGAGGAGGAAGACGGAUAACGGGCGAGUGUUGGGAAAGGCAACGGAAGGAGAAGCAGACAUCAGCCAUUACUUCAUUACCAUUACUCUUAGUGACUGUGGAGCUGAUGAAUGAAAGAUCUCAUUACAGGCAGUGAGAGGGAAUGGAAGCUGGAUGGAGAAGUGUAGAAGAAGAUAAAAAAAAAUAAAACAACAACAACAUCCAAAACCUAUUAUUUCAAGCUGAAAGUCUUCUCAGACUGGUUUUGUACGACAAAAUGCCUGCAAACAUAUAAAGCAACAGCGUCAGCGUGUUGCAUAUUUUAUAUUGUCUCUCGCGUGUGCAAUCAAGUGUGACCACCCAUGUCUAGACUCAGAUCAAACAGUGAGAAUAAACCACCUGGAGUUUUUUUUUUUCUUUCCACAUCUCGCACAAUGCAAACAUCAUCCACUUUCCAGUAGGUCAGGCAAUUUUCCCUAAGCAAAUUAGACGCAUUGUUUGUUCUGCCGACAUAAUCACUGGGAAGGGACCACACCUGUUACACAAUGUAUGAAGUGGAAAAGAGGUGUCGCUCUGCAGAAGCACCUAGCAACACGAGCGAAGCCAGAUGAUUGGUAAUCAGUAGAAAGAGGCCUGACGCACACACACAGCUGUGAUGGCAGGUUUUAAAUAAUGUGUCUGAGUGACGGAGAGGGUCCUGAAUGAUCCUAAGUGUCCUGGUAGUGGCGGCGUAUCUCUCAGGAAAUGGAAACACUGGUUGGAAAGAGCUGAUAAACAAGCGAGGCCUUUUGCGGUCAUUAGAGGACAGAAUUAGAAAGUCACUCCGGCCAAAGGUAAUGGUCACUGAAGUGAGCGCCACAGCUGUUUCACCACUAUGAUUUUUCCACGCAUGCAUCGCCAGUUUACCUUCAAACAGUCACCUUCUUCAAAAUAAACCACUCUUUUUAUAUGCUCAGUGUGUCGUGACUCACUGCUACCCAGAAAUCCUCUUUACAGUUCACAUACAGGUGCUGACAUUUACCGAACAGGAGGGACGUUUACAAGAAAAGAACAGCUUCAUUUUAAGGGGAUAGCUUUCCAGAAGUAUAAAAAAUAAAUGAAAACAGGCAGAUAUUUUUUGUUGUUGCAACAAUGGAAAUUCUGUUUAUGUAGUGCUAAUUUGCAACAGCAAAUGCAUUUCGUAGGAAGCAUAAUGUCCUGCACAUUAUGAUUUCUAUCUACAUAAUGAGGAAAUGUUUUUAAUUAACAUCUCUGGCUUUGGGAGAGUUGAAAAAAAAUGUUUUAGCGAAUUGAUCACUGACAUGUUUAAUUAGUUUUUUUUUUUUUUCUCCCACAUUAUCUUUUAUCCAGUCAUAGCAACUUAAUCAUGGAUGCAUUUUUUUAUUAUGUUUGUGUAUCUCACAUCACUUAGUUGAGAUUCUAUUUGUUUCAUAUAUUUUCCUGUGCUAUAUGAGCCAGAAUCGUAGUUUACUGAUGAGAGUUUGGUUGGAGAUUCAGGUGUGUUAUGAUCAUAGCAGCUUACAUCGCUUUAAGCAGCUAUAGCUCGGAGCUAGAAGAGAUGAGGAGCAGUUUUUCCUCUUUCAAGCUCCUCCAGACUUUUUUUCGUUUCCAAACUUGUGAUCUUCAGCCGCAACCGACCGUGACUCCAAUCAGCUCACUUGAGAGAAUUUGUCAGAUUUCACAGAGCGACCUCUGGAGCCACAGGGGGCUUUACAUGCCUUUUUUAUCUCACUUUGCACAUGCAGCUGUACAGGACUCAAGUUGUGUAAACAGACUUUGAUGAGAGAAACUGCUGGAGUUUCCCUUUAUGGAUUGAAAAAUCAAAAAUGAUUUGAAGUUCAAGAAGGGAUGUGUUGUCAUUAUGAAUAUUUAACCAAAACUGUUGUGCUUUUGUUGUGUAAAUCCAGUCACAAGUGGGAUUUUGAGAGUAAAUGUUUGUCUGCAAGGUCAAAAUCUUACGUUUUGUCAACUCUAGCCAUCUCUCAAAGCAAUAACUUCACACUUCAAAGAAAAAACAUCAAUCAAAUUAGCUUAUAAAUGUUUUUUUCGCAUUUUGCUCCCACCUUUUACUGUGAUUCUAUUGUAUUGCUGAGAGCCAGGAUCUGAGGGUAGUAACACUGAGUUCCUGCUGGGCAGCCUGAGUCUGGGCUUUUUAGAUGGCCUGUAAUGAUGCAGUUCUGGCUCGCUGACACCUGAUAAACUCGACUCCCAAAGAGAUGAAGGUGUGGACAUGAUAUGAGACGGGAGCUGCUCCUCUGGCCAUGCAGCCCUGCACAUUCAUCUGUAUGUACGGCUCAGUAUGAACUGCUACUACACGGCUUAUAAACCGAAUAAUAAAUGGAGAAACUCACACUCGCAGCCUGGAACACAUGCAAAACCAAAACCAAACACCCAAAUUUAUUAGACCAAGUUCUGGUAGGCCUCCUUUCAAUCUAAGCUAUGUUUUAUGACCAGUGGAGCCUUUCCCAUCUCUGCAGGGUCUGUGGUUAAAAACUGUUCACUGUGUCAACAUUUGCAAAACACAAGUCAACCGUUUCUGUAUCACCAAGGAAAGAGCACCUUCUGUCUAACAGCCUCGGUCAAGGGUCACAGUUCACUGUCGCAACAGUCAGUACACAACAGUUAAAUUGGACACAAUCUGAGAGGUAACAACAACAACACUGCUCAUUAGUUUCUCAGUGCAGGACGGUGUUUUUCCAUUUGUGCGAGAGAAAAGGUAGAUGACUAAGAGCAAGAGCAAGGCACUGGAUCGCAAAAUGUAGUGGGAUGUUCACAAAAGGGACUCUUUACACAAACUGAAUCCUAAGCUUUUACAUUAACCCUCAGCUUUGAAAGAUAUUUUAUCAUUGGUAAAUAGUUUAAUUUUUGUGAUUUCUCCAGAGUCAGAAACUCUAAAAACAGAUAGUGUUACAUUUUCAGCUUUCUGCUGGUGUGUGAAUGUUUCAUCAUAAAUUUGAAUUUAAAUCCAAUGAAAUCUAAGCUUAACAUCAUGACUUUAAAUUCAAAUUAAUUUAAAUGUUAUUCUGCAUGUUGCACUCAAAAAACUUCCUUGGUGCAAUCAUCAAGCUAUUGGUCACAUGACAGAAAUUCAGUGAACUUUUGGUGGAACUGGGAUGAACAAAGAGCAGAUAGAAAUAUGGAAACAAAUUCAAAAUGUUAAAAGUAAAAUAUCUAUAGUAUAUAGUACCACUAAUUUUGUCCAUAAGUAGUAACACCACCUUUUGGGCACUUGGAAAAUUGUUCGCGUUUAAAUAAAUUAUUAUUGUUGUUGUUGUAAAAUCAAUAACCAAAGAAAUUAAACUUUUUUUUGCUUCUUUUUGACAAUUUCAGCAUUUUCCAUGUGUCAUACUGCACAGAAGACUUUUUUAAGUUAUCUCUGAUCACUCCAUGGCUAUUAAAUUUCCAUAUAGGACAUACAGGGCUUAACAAUGCGUUGAAAAAUAAGUACAAAUGUGACAGGAGCAUAACACUCCCAGAAGCUGCUUGAGGAUCAGAGGGUUACGUCCUCUCGUUAAAAUCCCAAUAAACAAAUGUUUGCAAUUAAGCAAUCAGGGAUUAAGUGUCAAGUAGAUCUUAAAAUGACUCACUAAAGGACAAAAGAGCACUAGACUCUCUGCCCCCACAUCUUCCAGCCCAUCCUGGGACACCGGCCAAUAUUUUUCAACCAUAAUCCUCCUUCUUAAACCUCCAGGGUACUGCCGCUCCCAUAUGACACAGAAAUACUGUAUGUAAGGAUUUUCAGCCUUGUGCAAAUAAACAACAACAAUGCAACUUCCUCUACAGGAAGCGAGCGAGGAAGUUAUAAAUAGGAAUAUAAUGGGAAGUAUGCAAAUGGCAACCGAAGGAGCUCACUGUACAAAACACAAGGAGCUCUUGCAUGUCCUGCACAUCAUCUGCUUUUCCCUCUGCGAUGGAAAUGAAGUUUAUGGCUGGAAAUAAUUAGAGAUCAUACUGCUCUUAUCUGUUUUCAAUGAUAAAAGCUGCAGUUUUUAAUACUGUAAAAUCAGCGGGCAUUAAUAGAAAUGCCAUAAGUAGAAAAAAGCAUGCCAGUUGUCUUAGAUUGAUAAAGUGGGCUUCGAAGACGAGGGGAGGAGGGCAGGAAGAUAUGAACUGGGUGGGAUUUUAAACUGCCAGCCCUUGUUAGGUGAAAAAUCUUUUCUCUUGAUGAUUAAAUGGCCCUCUAUGGAACGGUCUUAUGUAAUGGGGAUGUGUUCCUUUCAUGCUUCAUACAAUAUAUGUGUGUAAACAAUGUGUACAAGCCUGCAGCUCUGUAAGUGCACUCAAAAAAAUGAAACACUGACUUUAAAUCAUUUUUUUCCUGUCAACGUGCUUUAUGUUAUUGUAUUUUGCAAAAAUGUUAAAGGUUUUGAAAAUAAAUUAUCUCUAUUAUUAUUUUAGCAUUUAUUUAUUGAUUUAUUAUUUCAUUUUAUGCUCUUAUUGAGGCAAGUGGUCACAUUUCUUUCUGACCAACAAGAGAUUUUUAAGUCUAACCAGCUUUAUUUAGUUGUGUUAACUGGACUUAAAGAUGAUAUCUCCAGCCUAUAUAAUUUACAUUUGUUCACUCAACGCAAACUAAUGAUGUUACUGCAACAACGAAAAUGUAACUUUAAAUAAUUAAUAUAAUAAAUAAUUCAACACCUUUUUAACAUUUUAUUUACAUCCAAACAGUCAUUUAAUGUUGCACAUGUUGGUGCCAUUUUGACCAGAAAAGUGAGAAUAAACCAAGAAAACAGUCAAUGAAUUUUUUGAUUGGGACGUGUUUUAUAUAAUUGCAUUUUGUUAGUCAAAUACACAAAUGCUAAGGUUUUGUGACAAAGUAAGUUUGCAGUGCGCAAACAAAAGUAAUCAGAAUUCCUUCUGCUCAACAAGAGGUUUUUAAGUUGAACCAACUUUAUUUUGUUAUAUUAUUUGGACUUACUGCUUCUCCAUACAUAUUUUACAUUUGUCCGCUCAACAUAAACUAAGGAUGUGAUUGUAGCAUUUUUAUCAGAAAGCAAAUCCAAUACAUUUUUGUUAUUUUCUUUACUUCCGGUUAAAGUGAUUCAGUGAUACAUGUUGGUUCCACUUUGACCAGAAAAGCAACACAUACAUCUUUCACUGCACCAAAUAAUAAUAACAAGAACAUAGUCAAUCAUAUUUUAUAAUUAAAUUAGAGGAACAAGCAUCUAAUAAGCUGUACUGUCAGUCGGGAACAGUGCGUGUCUUAUUCUUUCUUGUGUCAUCCAUCCGUCCCUAGUGAACUCUGUGUGCCAUUAAAGGAUGGCAAGACUGCAGCCAUUAGUGUAACAGGAUCAGACCACUGAGAGCCUCACAAACAGACUACACACAUGCACAUAUGUGCUGCACACAUUCGCUCAGUAUCAAGAGGCUAGAUGCUCCCACUCAGGCAUACUAGAAACAUUUACCACUGCUCCCCUUCCCGGCACUUGAGUGGAUAUGAGCAUGCGAGAGAGAAUUCCUGACUGUUUGAGUUGAGAAAGAAGAAAAGGGGGAUCAAAAUCCAGCAGCAAGCAUCCACCCCUGCAGCCCACUUUCUUGGCAGGAACCAAGACGAGAAGAGCAGCAGCAGCAGCAACAAUCCUGUUUCCCCCCAAUGUCACCCACACAGCCCCUGCAUUCUGUCUCCCAAAGGAGAAAGCGGAAAAUGGAAGUCUCCUUGUUUUUCCUGCUGUUUUCAGCGCUCACAGCCAGCCACAUCUCCUCCAGUAAGCUAUAAUUAUCACCAAACUGACGCAGAUUACUGGAGGAGGGAAAGAGUGGGACAAACAGCUGUGAGGGUUUCGAACAAUGGCGGAGAAAAUGAUAGGCUUGAUAUUGAGGUCACAUAAUAAAGGCAAAUAGAGCCUAAAUGAGUUGAUUCUAUGGUUCACGAGACAUUUCUUGCGCCCACCCAAUGGAGACAGAGGGGGUUUUUGUCCUUGGCUGCUAUUAGCAUUUUGUACAAGAUGUGCUGCAGGUAAUUACAUUUGCUAUUGAAAAACACUUUGAAUAGUUUGAACGGACCAAGCAGAGAGAUUGAGAAGCAUCGUUAUCGCUUUCUGUUGUGCUCCAGUAAUGAAAUUGCCGCUGAUUGAAUUAGCAGUAUGAUGGAUGCUUUCUUGCUCUGGCCUUUAAGGCGUGGGCGGGCGUGACCAAAUGGGCUGCGGGCCAUAUUUGGACAGCUUUGGGCCAAAUGGUGUUGUGUUUCUUUAUGGCUCAUGUAACAUGGGAGGCCAUUUGCUGCGAGGGACAGGGAUAAGGGAUGUUGUGAAAAAAGAUCUGGGAAGGAUUGAAAUGAAACACAUAUGGUUCAGAUAUACAAAGCAAUCGUGCAGACAAUGAAACCCAAACACAGACAAACAGAUGCAGGUCAAAAACACGAAUGCACACUUCUGUGGCUCCUAGGUUGAUGCCACAACGCCCCCAGCAUCUGUCCAAUCACUUUUUAGAGCGUGUUUUCCUCAAUCACCUUAUCAAUCCUCCUAAACACCACCUCCUCUAUCCUCUUCUGCACUCUCUGGUAAACACACAUCAACAAGAAGUUGUUUUUCCACAGCAGGCCUCGUGGCCACUCCCCUCCUCUCCUAUCACCAGGUAUUUCUGGCUCCUCAUUGGUCACCUGGGGAGAGAGAUUGCAACACCUCCUGUCGGGUUCAGUGACCUCCGCUCCCCGUGUUACUAUGAAACAUCAACAUCUGACGUAUGACUCAGAGGGAAGUCAGUCGUUGUGACUAAUAGUGUUUUUCUAAAAGCUGCUUUUUAGCAGUGCUUCAGGGGAACGUGCAGAAAUUCACACAACACUGUGCAAGCGUCUGGUGUGAUCCAAGUCUUCCUGUUUUCAUGCGGUGAUAGUGGAAAAGUUGCACGUUCUGCUGGCCAACUUUCUGUUCUGUCCACAGCAAAGCUCAAAGAAGGGCUGUGUGUAAAUGACCACAUAUUGCAUCAACCUAUUUAAUGAAAACAAGUGUAGAAUGUAAAGGUGUGAUGUUCUGUUGGCACCCUUAGGUUGGAGACAGCCAGAAUUCAUUUGUACCGAGAUUCACCCGGGAGCGAGAAGCAGCACAGCUCUCAUAGGAUCGAUAUAAGUGUGUGUGAGUGUGUGUUUAGGCACACUACGAGGUGAAAGUGUAGGUUAAACCUACACACCUGCAUCCUUUUUAUGGAAGCAAAAACACACAGCAGACAGUCCUGCAUUUGUACAGGAGGGGAAACUGUGAAAUACCGUCACCUCCAGCGUAUACAGUUGGCUUGGCAGCCUCUCAAAGUAUACAUGCACAAAUGGUAAAGCAACACGGCUGCCAUUAGCGGACUCUGUUUGCUCUUGGCUCUGAGGUCCAUCCAGUCAAAACAGCCUUUUAAUUGGACGUGUUAGAAAAUUGUUUUUCACAAAGUAAAACCACCAUAGAAGUCGCCACAUCACAUAUAUACUGUGCUGUAUAUAGCACACACAAUAUACUAUAGUGCACCAUGCAGUAUUAAUCACACUAAACAUCUGGGAGCAUUUAGGGAACAAAAUGAUCUUAAAAGCCUCUUCAUAGUGAUACUCUUGUGGUGUUACAUUAAAUUCCCUGAGUGAUAAUUUGAUCUUUUACCUUCACCUAGAGGAGACAAACACAACAUCUUUGUCUUUCUGAGAAGACAUGAUAAAAAAAGGAAAUCCUCCAGACAGACAUGCUGAUCGAUGAUAUUCAUGUUCCUUUGACUGAAGGCUUUGAUUCCCUGGUCCCAACACUAUGUGAAUUAUGCAGUUUUUAUAAUGUCAAAUGAACAUUAUCUCUGAUUCAAGUUCAAUUCAAAAUAGCUUGUUGCUAUCCCCAGAUAUAGAAGUCAAGAUGGUCACAAGAUGUGAUUUACACUUGUUCCAGAAGUUACACUAUAAAAGAAUCCCAUGUUGAAAGAAUGGCACUAGAGCGAAACCACGCAAUUUUAUAAGCAUUUGUAAAAGUGGAGCCAGAGGGAUUUCCCAUGUUUAGGGCAGGAAUCUACACUUUACUGUGUAAGAGGCUCAAAUUCUGUGAGAAACCAACAAAUCCAAAGAUUCCCUUUGAGAAAGCUCCUUGUGGGAAGAUAAAAACCUCCCUUCAACAGGAAGAAACCUCCGCCAGAACCAGGCUCAGUUAGGACAGCUGUUUGCCUUGACCUGUCGGGGUGAGGGUAAAGAGAAGAGAGAAGGAUAUAGAUAGAAAACAGACAUAAGAGAAAAAUAAACACUUUGGAGGUCACUGAAGGCAGUAACAGUAGCUCAGAAACGUGUAGCUCUGUGUCUCUAUUCACACAUGGAUGUCAGGCUACACAAUAGUUUUUCUUAUAAAGUUCUUGUAGUAUUGGUAUCAUGAGUGGAAACGCUGCAGAUACAAGACUGUGAGGAAAUACCCCAAAACAAUGCUUAUUUACUCAAGAAAAGAAAUAACUGCAGGCCUGUCCAUGGGUGUUGAUAUUGUCAAGUCGAGUAAUUUUUACUUAGGCAGCCUAAUAUCACAAAUCUCAAUGGGUUUUCUGAUCUAUACAAUAAAUGUCCUUAGACGGAUGAGAAAAAAACUCCACCCUAAAAACCUUUAAUGAGAAAAAAGCAUCAAAGUGGGCGUGGAGUCUGUGUCUGACACUCAGGAAAACCACAAAGCAGAGCCAAGCCCUGGCAUAAGAGCCCACCCUCGUCUGGGGCCUCCCCUGCACACAUUUUCUUCAUAGCUGCUAUGAUUAUGUUUCUGGAAUUGCAUGCAAGGCUGCUGAUGCAGAACCUGGUACAAAGUUUAGCAAAAUACAUCUCAGCAUGUUGCAAAAUUUAUGCUUUAUAGGACGGAGACUCAGUCAGUCCACUAGCUGUAUCGAGAGUUGUGUAGGUUUUGACUGUGGUCAUUUUUUAAUGCCAAUAACACACAGUAAACAUGUUUCCAUUGUAGUGUUGAGUUGGGAGAAAUUACACAUUUUUAAUUGAGUUUAGAAUUUAUAUAUAGUUGUAGACAAGAGGAAUGUCGCCUAAAGGUCCCAAAACCUGCUGCAGUUAAGGCCAAGUUAUAGGAAUCAGUAGAUAAUCUAAUACAUCUGGAAAAAUGUAUUCAACAUUUAUUUUCAUUUUGUUGUAUUUUAUUACAUAUUGUUUGUGUUCAAUGCUGUUUUGAAUUCAUUUUCAGUAAGGCUCAUGCAAACUAGAAUAUACUAUAGAUGUUGUACCUGUUAUAUAUAAAUAUAUUCUAAACUUAACUUCUAAGGUUUUGCAUUCUCCAUUCAUUCACACUUGGCCUGCAUCAUAAACUAAUUCUAACACUAAUUUACAUAGAAAAGAGGCCCUAAAAAGGCCCCGCUGCUGUGCAUGAGAAAUGCAUUUCUUGGGUCCAAACACAUCAAGGAUACGUUGUGAUGACACAAACUCAUUGGAAUGACAUUCAGUCAGUAUUUUUUAUGCUAUGCUUCUUAAGUAUAUGUUGUUAUGCGAAGGACAUGCGCGACUCUAAGUGAUGCGGCGAGUUUUAUGAGGUGGCUGUAUUUAUGGGAAAAAGGCUGCACUCGGCUGCCAGUGUGAUUUUCUGCUCUCAUUGCUUUCUCAGUACCAGCUGGCAUAGUUACAGCUCUGUUACGGCUCUAAACCUGUAAUCACUCUGAUACGUGUUAUGUCACAUAUAUAUAACAGCAUAAUAACGCUUGUCAAAGUUACUGAUUCGGUCGGCACAUUCGCCACAUAUAUCGACUGAAAGAACAUCAGGCUUUUCCAGCAGUUUUCAGGAAGCUAAUUUUUCACCUGCUUCUAUCGUAGCUUCUAGAAUAAACAGUUCAAGUGAAACGUGUAUCAUGCGUUCAGUCAGUUAAUACUGGAAAUGCAAAGCGAAUAAUAAAUAGAGAAGUGAGCAUUCUGAGUCCCUGAAGUACUGUGCAUUACGGUGGAAAGGAAACACAGCUUCAGGAGAGAUGGUGCUCAACCAGGGAAAGUAGAAGAGAGUGUUGUCUAGACUGCUGCAUAAUGAAUGAGGCAGACUUUGUGGUCACAGGAGUGGAAGUCCAGGGGCCACGUUAACAAUAUUCUUCCAGAUGGCCUGCAUGAACUCGCUUGAAAGAGAUGAAAACAAAAAGUCAGAGAGUGUAACUCUGAAAAAGUGUGACCACUGCAACACAUGACGUGAUCCAAAUGUAAACAGCGUCUUUGAAACACACACAUAACUGUAUCUUUGUGUUUGUCACUGUCACAGCCAGAGGCUGUGAUCAAGUGGCAGUGCUCUCUCCUCCUCUGGCCUGUUGUUUCUCUCUCUCUCUAGGUGUGUGGCAGUGGUGGGCAGCAGGUGUGGCUGAUUUCCAAUCAGCUGAUCGGGUGCAGGUGGGAGUUGCUCAUCAGGCUGGCUGGGCUCACUAUAAAGAGUGCCUCGUCUCGUCAGUUGGUGCCGGACCGUCCCCUAGCUCACAGUUAGUGUUGCUGUCAGAUCUGUCUGAGCCACUGCCUUCCCCAGCUCUGCGUCUAACCCUGUUCUCUCUGUGCAGUAUUGACUCCUGCCUGUUUCUGUUACCGUCUCUUCUGGUUGGAAAGCCACCUGGCAGAGGUUUCCAGACACUACAAGGACCGGGGCUUUCUCCAAGAAGUCUUGCUAAGCUAAGGAGGACUCUGGCUGCUGCCACAGCUUGGACAGGAAUCCUGGGUUCUAACCCCAUACCAGACAGAGAGAGAGACUGUUCAGUAAGGUUCUCGUUCCAAGCAGCAUCAGACAAUAGAGCAUUGUUGUUUUGUUUAAUUGGUGUUCCUGCUAGUGUAGUGGGAUUCUGGGAUAGAGUUUAGGUAUUUUGUAUGGAGAGUAGUAGUUUUGUUUUGUAGUUUACCUGCUUGGAGGAAUUAAACGUGGGUUACUGUUUUGUGUAUAGUGUUUACGCCCUCCUCCAAGAAGUAUUGUUUUGUUACGCUGACUGCGUAUCAUUAGUGACUUCUGUUUCUGGUUUAGAGUUCCAAUUGUAGUUUUUGGUUUUGCUUUCAUGCAAAUAAAUCUUGUUUC